Molecule: ribosomal RNA, 253 nt
Filed under: uncultured bacterium
Lineage: Bacteria
Description: partial 16S ribosomal RNA
Rfam family: Bacterial small subunit ribosomal RNA
Source: RNAcentral
UACAGAGGGUGCAAGCGUUAAUCGGAAUUACUGGGCGUAAAGCGUGCGUAGACGGUUAUUUAAGUCGGGUGUGAAAGCCCCGGGCUCAACCUGGGAAUUGCAUUCGAGACUGAAUAGCUAGGGUGCGGAAGAGGGAAGCGGAAUUUCCGGUGUAGCGGUGAAAUGCGUAGAUAUCGGAAGGAACACCAGUGGCGAAGGCGGGUCUCUGGACAGUUCCUGACGCUGAGGCACGAAGGCCAGGGGAGCAAACGGG